CGGAUUAUGGGCGUAAAGCGCGCGCAGGCGGUCCUUUAAGUCUGAUGUGAAAUCCCACGGCUCAACCGUGGAGGGUCAUUGGAAACUGGGGGACUUGAGUACAGAAGAGGAAAGUGGAAUUCCACGUGUAGCGGUGAAAUGCGUAGAGAUGUGGAGGAACACCAGUGGCGAAGGCGACUUUCUGGUCUGUAACUGACGCUGAGGCGCGAAAGCGUGGGGAGCAAACAGGAUUAGAUACCCUGGUAGUCCACGCCGUAAACGAUGAGUGCUAAGUGUUAGGGGGUUUCCGCCCCUUAGUGCUGCAGCUAACGCAUUAAGCACUCCGCCUGGGGAAUACGGCCGCAAGGCUU
This 350-nucleotide ribosomal RNA is filed under the name uncultured bacterium. RNAcentral's name for it is "bacterial SSU rRNA". It matches the Rfam family "Bacterial small subunit ribosomal RNA", at positions 546 to 896 of the family's 1533-position model. The record is from RNAcentral.